This 415-nucleotide ribosomal RNA is filed under the name Antargidium allucente. RNAcentral describes it as "eukaryotic LSU rRNA". The record is from RNAcentral. Lineage: Eukaryota; Metazoa; Arthropoda; Insecta; Hymenoptera; Argidae.
CCCGAAAGAUCGAUCGGGGAGAUUCAUCGUCAGCGGCUUCGGCUUGGCCCGCGGUUCGCGAUGCCCGGACCCCGGUCCGUGGCACGCUGCCGCGCCACGCUCGUUGUCGCCGGCGUGCACUUCUCCCCUAGUAGGACGUCGCGACCCGUUGGGCGUCGGUCUACGGCCUGGAUGGUCGCCUGUCCUCGGCGUUCACGCGCCGGGGGCAGACCUCCGGUUGCCCGGCCGGCUGCCCGGCGGUACACGCACGGUAUCGAGCCGCAUUGAAUUGCGUCCAGCCCGCCGCAAGCGCGGUCAGGAAUUCCCGGUGGUCGGACCUAGCGCCGUCCCCGGGCCUGGCCAGCUGUUGGCCGGCGGUGUCCUCGGACGGGCUCUCGUUUACCGGUCGGCGACGCUAUUGCUUUGGGUACUUUCA